RNAcentral lists this non-coding RNA (78 nucleotides) under Candidatus Methanoperedens nitratireducens. Lineage: Archaea; Methanobacteriati; Methanobacteriota; Methanomicrobia; Methanosarcinales; Candidatus Methanoperedentaceae. The record is from RNAcentral.
AAGAGCCGGAUGAGGGAAAUCUUCAAGUCCGGUUCUGUGAGGGGGCUCAUAGUAUAACCCUGGGGCUAUUACCUCAAU